ACUCACUCUCCUGCCGCCUUGUGAAGAAGGUGCCUGCUUUCUCUUCUGCCAUAAUUGACUCUGUAUCUUGCUGCACUCUCUCUUGCCUUCUUAGCUUGGAUUCUUUGAUGAAACAAACCACCAUAUUGGAGCAUUCCACCUGCCAAAGAACUGAAGGCAAGCUUCAGCCAACAGCCAGCAAGGAACUAAGAUCUUCAGCCCAAAGCCACAGGGAACUGAGUCCUGCCAACCACCACAUCAGUGAGCAUAGAUGGGAUCCUCCACAGUUGAACUUUCAGAUGAGACCAGAGCCACACCUGACAAUUUGAUUGCAGCCUUGCAGACAAUCCUGAAGCAGAGGACCCAGUUCAAUCAUGCUGGGAUUCCUGACCCACAGAAUCCAUGAGAAAAUAAAUGUGUGUGUUUAAGCCUCUACAUUUUGAGGCAAUUUGUUAUACAGCAAGAGAUAAUGAAUGAAUACUUUUGUUACUUUUCAUUUUAGGUAAAUUAUUUCUACUUUGCAAGUUUGUGUAAUAAGCCUAGUAAAUCCUUCUGUAGUCACGAAAUAAUACAGAAGUAAGAAAAAAAAUCCCAUUUUCUUGAAUGAGAAACCAAGGUGCUGAUAUAACAUUG
RNAcentral lists this long non-coding RNA (612 nucleotides) under Pongo abelii (Sumatran orangutan). RNAcentral describes it as "lincRNA". Lineage: Eukaryota; Metazoa; Chordata; Mammalia; Primates; Hominidae. The record is from RNAcentral.